This 225-nucleotide long non-coding RNA is filed under the name Elaeis guineensis (African oil palm). RNAcentral's name for it is "long non-coding RNA (EGUI_LNC065715)". Lineage: Eukaryota; Viridiplantae; Streptophyta; Magnoliopsida; Arecales; Arecaceae. The record is from RNAcentral.
CCUAAGCGGUGGGGAGAAGGUUGAAGGUGCUGGAACUAACCUAGAUCGCUCUGAGGGACCAGAGGGACGAAGACAGGGACGAUUUGGAGGGCGCCUACGGCUCGAGAAGAUGCCAACUGAAACAGGGCUCUCGAAGGGAAGGCAGACACUGAUAAAAACUCUGGAAUGGAAUAGGGCCCCUAAAGGUGGAAGGACGGGUUUAAAUAGACCCUGGGAUCCGGUGCC